Molecule: long non-coding RNA, 1134 nt
Filed under: Oryctolagus cuniculus (rabbit)
Lineage: Eukaryota; Metazoa; Chordata; Mammalia; Lagomorpha; Leporidae
Description: lncRNA (ENSOCUG00000031686.1)
Source: RNAcentral
AUGCUGGCUUUCUCCCACCGUGGCCACAACAGCCAGGCGGAGGCCAGAAGCCGGGAACUCCAUCUGGGUCUCCAACAUGGGUGGCAGGGGCCCAAGUCCUUGGGCCAUCGUCCAUCGCUUUCCCAGGUGCAUCAGCAGGGAGCCGGCCUGGCAGACGGCAGCUUCACCAGUCCCCAGGCUGUCCUGCUCGGUGCUUGUGCCCGUGACGCAGCGUCCAUUCCCCUGGGCAGCACUGGCUCUUUGGCCUGUUGUAGCCGAACCCCAGAGCAAACGCCACCCGGCUGGGCCCGGCCACACGGAGCUUCCUCUGGCACUGGGAAUCAGAAUUCUUCCCCGGAACCAUCAGUAAACUCAUGGACUUCGCAGAGGGAUGGACCCCAGAGCCAAGCAGAGACCGGGCAGUGUGGACCCUGGCUCAGCCCCGCUUUGCCCUGUGGUCCUCGGCCAGCGUCAGCCUCCCCACCCUUCCCAAGCUCAGGGCCUAACCCCACCACGGGGGGGCAGAGCCUCAUCCUGCUGGCCCUGCUGCCACCAACCGCGGUCACCUCAGGGACCCUGAUCAGGGCAGGGCUGUGCAGGGCAGUGGCGCUGGCUGCCGAGGUGGCUGCCUGGAGACCCGGCACCGCCCUCCGGGACUGCGGGAGCCCUUCAGGUCCUGGAUGCUUCUUCCAACAAAAGCAGCGCAAACCGGAGCAUCCAAACGAAUGGACACGAGGAGGCAGGCCAGCGCUGGACCCCGCCCCACUCGGGCAGCUGCAGGCGGAGGAGCGGGGCCACAGCUGGGUCUCCGCCUCCCGGAGCCUGGGCCCGGGGUGCACAGGGCAGGGGCUACGGCGGCCGCCGCUGCAGACUCCGGAACCGGUGCCGCGAUUCCCCUGCAAACCACGCGCUCCCGCCCACGUGUCCGAAUCCCGGCGGCGAGGUGGAAGGGGAUCUGGGAGAUACCAGGACCCGCGCCACGCACACACACGAACAAGCCAAAGGGAACGCUGGCUCGUGCUCGCCAGCAACGCAGACCCCGAGUCCACGGCCGCAGUGCGCAGCGUCGGGCACAGGAGUGGGGUCCCGGGCGCCACCAAGCCCACCCGCAGGGCCAGUCCAGGGGCUGGGGGCCAGGGAAGUGCCAGUGGCCGC